Molecule: ribosomal RNA, 217 nt
Filed under: Campeiostachys nutans
Lineage: Eukaryota; Viridiplantae; Streptophyta; Magnoliopsida; Poales; Poaceae
Description: Elymus nutans partial small subunit ribosomal RNA
Rfam family: Eukaryotic small subunit ribosomal RNA (bases 88-217)
Source: RNAcentral
GAUUCGGGCAAUUGGUCCAUCUUUUAGAUGAGUACUGGUUGUGUUGGGUCUAUCCGCCUGGUGAUACGUAAUGUCCUUUAUUGGGUGUUGCGGGUAGUCAGGACCUUUACCUCGAAAAAAUUAGAGUGUUCAAAGCAGGCCUACGCCUGAAUACGUUAGCAUGGAAUAAUAGAAUAGGACGUGCGGUUCUAUUUUGUUGGUUUCUAGAGUCGCCGUA